CCUACGGGAGGCAGCAGUAGGGAAUAUUGCUCAAUGGGGGAAACCCUGAAGCAGCAACGCCGCGUGGAGGAUGAAGGUUUUCGGAUUGUUAACUCCUUUUUUUAGAGAAGUUAAUGGCGGUAUCUAACGAAUAAUCACUGUCUAACUCCGUGCCGGCAGCCGCGGUAAUACGGAGGGUGCAGGCGUUAUUCGGAAUCUCUGGGCGUAAAGAGCGCGUAGGCGGGAUAGCAAGUCAGAUGUGAAAUCCUAUGGCUUAACCAUAGAACUGCAUUUGAAACUGUUAUUCUAGAGUAUGGGAAGGGUAGGUGGAAUUCGUGGUGUAGGGGUAAAAUGCGUAGAGAUCAAGAGGAAUACUCAUUGCGAAGGCGACCUGCUAGAACAUAACUGACGCUGAUGCGCGAAAGCGUGGGGAGCAAACAGGAUUAGAUACCCUUGUAGUC
This 440-nucleotide ribosomal RNA is filed under the name uncultured bacterium. RNAcentral describes it as "partial 16S ribosomal RNA". It matches the Rfam family "Bacterial small subunit ribosomal RNA", at positions 338 to 795 of the family's 1533-position model. The record is from RNAcentral.